GUGAAUCAUCGAAUCUUUGAACGCACCUUGCGCCCUCUGGUAUUCCGGAGGGCAUGCCUGUUUGAGUGUCAUGAAGACUCAUCCCUUCGGGUUUCCGACUGGAUGGAUUUGGGUGUCUGCCGUCUCUGGCUCGCCUUAAAAGCAUAAGUGGUUUUACACAGGACGUAAUAAGUUUCGCCCUUUGACUGCUCACAACCCCCACCCCUGCGGCCUUUACGGGCCAAUGGGCUACCUUUAAUCUGACCUCAAAUCAGGUAGGACUACCCGCUGAACUUAAGCAUAUCAAUAAGCGGAGGA
RNAcentral lists this unclassified non-coding RNA (297 nucleotides) under Vishniacozyma sp. RNAcentral describes it as "partial contains 5.8S ribosomal RNA, internal transcribed spacer 2, and large subunit ribosomal RNA". The stretch from base 1 to 71 matches the Rfam family "5.8S ribosomal RNA", at positions 84 to 154 of the family's 154-position model. Lineage: Eukaryota; Fungi; Basidiomycota; Tremellomycetes; Tremellales; Bulleribasidiaceae. The record is from RNAcentral.